This 501-nucleotide ribosomal RNA is filed under the name uncultured bacterium. Its description in RNAcentral is "partial 16S ribosomal RNA". It matches the Rfam family "Bacterial small subunit ribosomal RNA", at positions 30 to 523 of the family's 1533-position model. The record is from RNAcentral.
AUUGAACGCUGGCGGCAGGCUUAACACAUGCAAGUCGAGCGGGGGAAGGUAGCUUGCUACCGGACCUAGCGGCGGACGGGUGAGUAAUGCUUAGGAAUCUGCCUAUUAGUGGGGGACAACAUCUCGAAAGGGAUGCUAAUACCGCAUACGUCCUACGGGAGAAAGCAGGGGAUCUUCGGCCCUUGCGCUUAUAGAUGAGCCUAAGUCGGAGUAGCUAGUUGGUGGGGUAAAGGCCUACCAAGGCGACGAUCUGUAGCGGGUCUGAGAGGAGGAUCCGCCACACUGGGACUGAGACACGGCCCAGACUCCUACGGGAGGCAGCAGUGGGGAAUAUUGGACAAUGGGGGGAACCCUGAUCCAGCCAUGCCGCGUGUGUGAAGAAGGCCUUAUGGUUGUAAAGCACUUUAAACGAGGAGGAGGCUACUCUAGUUAAUACCUAGGGAUAGUGGACGUUACUCGCAGAAUAAGCACCGGCUAACUCUGUGCCAGCCGCCGCAGUAA